RNAcentral lists this ribosomal RNA (503 nucleotides) under uncultured bacterium. Its description in RNAcentral is "partial 16S ribosomal RNA". It matches the Rfam family "Bacterial small subunit ribosomal RNA", at positions 28 to 523 of the family's 1533-position model. The record is from RNAcentral.
GAUGAACGCUAGCGGCAGGCCUGACACAUGCAAGUCGAGGGGUAGUAGCAUUAAGCUUGCUUAAUUGCUGACGACCGGCGCACGGGUGCGUACAGCGUAUGCAACCUACCUUAUACUGGGGUAUCGCACGGCGGAAGUCGUAUUAAUCCGCCAUAGUCCAACGGAAUCGCAUGGUUUAUUAGUUAAAGCAUUGCGGGAUAAGAUCGGCAGGCGUCCUAUUAGCUAGAUGGUGGGAGGACGGCUCACCAUGGCUACGAUAGGUAGGGUGCUUGAGAGGGUGGUCCCCCACACUGGUACUGAGACACGGACCAGACUCCUACGGGAGGCAGCAGUGAGGAAUAUUGGUCAAUGGGCGCAAGCCUGAACCAGCCAUGCCGCGUGCAGGAAGAAUGCCCUAUGGGUUGUAAACUGCUUUUAUUUGGGAAUAAACCUCUUUACGUGUAGAGAGCUGAAGGUACCAAAUGAAUAAGCACCGGCUAACUCCGUGCCAGCAGCCGCAGUAA